GCGGAUGUAGCUCAGUUGGUUAGAGCGCCGGGUUGUGGUUCCGGAGGCCGAGGGUUCGAUUCCCUUCAUUCGCCCCA
Molecule: transfer RNA, 77 nt
Filed under: Candidatus Saccharibacteria bacterium TM7i
Lineage: Bacteria; Candidatus Saccharimonadota
Description: tRNA-His
Rfam family: tRNA
About the family: Transfer RNA (tRNA) molecules are approximately 80 nucleotides in length. Their secondary structure includes four short double-helical elements and three loops (D, anti-codon, and T loops). Further hydrogen bonds mediate the characteristic L-shaped molecular structure. tRNAs have two regions of fundamental functional importance: the anti-codon, which is responsible for specific mRNA codon recognition, and the 3' end, to which the tRNAs corresponding amino acid is attached (by aminoacyl-tRNA synthetases). tRNAs cope with the degeneracy of the genetic code in two manners: having more than one tRNA (with a specific anti-codon) for a particular amino acid; and 'wobble' base-pairing, i.e. permitting non-standard base-pairing at the 3rd anti-codon position.
Source: RNAcentral